ACGUUAGCGGCGGACGGGUGAGUAACACGUGGGUAACCUACCUAUAAGACUGGGAUAACUCCGGGAAACCGGGGCUAAUACCGGAUAACACAUGAAACCGCAUGGUUUCAUGAUGAAAGACGGUUUUGCUGUCACUUAUAGAUUGACCCGCGGCGUAUUAGCUAGUUGGUAAGGUAACGGCUUACCAAGGCAACGAUACGUAGCCGACCUGAGAGGGUGAUCGGCCACACUGGAACUGAGACACGGUCCAU
This 251-nucleotide ribosomal RNA is filed under the name uncultured Staphylococcus sp. RNAcentral describes it as "partial 16S ribosomal RNA". It matches the Rfam family "Bacterial small subunit ribosomal RNA", at positions 89 to 334 of the family's 1533-position model. The record is from RNAcentral. Lineage: Bacteria; Bacillati; Bacillota; Bacilli; Caryophanales; Staphylococcaceae.